RNAcentral lists this ribosomal RNA (253 nucleotides) under uncultured bacterium. Its description in RNAcentral is "partial 16S ribosomal RNA". It matches the Rfam family "Bacterial small subunit ribosomal RNA", at positions 524 to 776 of the family's 1533-position model. The record is from RNAcentral.
UACGGAGGGUGCAAGCGUUAAUCGGAAUUACUGGGCGUAAAGCGCACGCAGGCGGUCAGUCAAGUCGGAUGUGAAAUCCCCGAGCUCAACCUGGGAACUGCAUCUGAAACUGGCAGACUAGAGUCUUGUAGAGGGGGGUAGAAUUCCAUGUGUAGCGGUGAAAUGCGUAGAGAUGUGGAGGAAUACCGGUGGCGAAGGCGGCCCCCUGGACAAAGACUGACGCUCGGGUGCGAAAGCGUGGGGAGCAAACAGG